This is a non-coding RNA of Monodelphis domestica (gray short-tailed opossum), 835 nucleotides long. The record is from RefSeq and is a predicted model, not a curated record. NCBI's taxonomy places the organism in Eukaryota, Metazoa, Chordata, Mammalia, Didelphimorphia, Didelphidae.
GAGAGUUCAAAACAGACACACUGAGACAGUUGAAGGGCCUUGUUCCUGUCUUUCAGGGAGAUCAGAGAGGUUACCUCAAGUGGCUUGGUUUUGUUUGAGCCUAGGGAGAGUUGGCCUACCUGUUCCCUGAGAGCCAAAGGUUCCUGCUUUCCUGUUUGUCCAGCUAUCCUGAGAUCCUGAUAUUCUGGUGGGAGAUCCUGUCAAUCCUUGUCUCCAAUUUCCAUCUACCCGAGUUCCUGUGUCCUGAGUGUUUGCUGAUUGCUGAGAGAAAACUGCCAGGACCCAGUAAAGACUGUGAGAAAAGCCCAGAGUCAUCUGGGGCCUUUGACAAACUUUAAAGUUAUCAUCUAUCUCACAAACUUUAAACUUGUCCACCAUUAAUUUGGAGGACCAGUUAGGUCAGAUAAGUUAGAUAGUGUGGGUUUAUAGAUAGAAUAGUGAAAGGCAGCCAGAAGAUCUUUGAAGAUGGUCACCCAGAGAACUGGGAGGGUGGAGUAUACAGAGUUUAGAGGUAGGGACUCCUUGGUUCCUGGUCCUCCCUUCCUCGUCUACAUGAAAAGAUACUUGAAGAACCGUAGGACACUUCUUUCCCAGAAUUCAGGGAAUUGAAUUCAAGCCUUCUUGCAUCUUGGAAAGUUCCUAGUUUUUCAUCCAAUUAGAUAUCAGAUUAUCUAAUAUUGAAUUGUUUCCUUUUAAUUAACUGGUCUUUUAAAAUUGAUUUUAAUUGUAUUUAUUUCCCCCAUGGUCUGGGUUUAGCCUUAAAAUAAGGAAAAGGUCCGGUUUUGUUAGUCGAUUGGCAUGCUUUGCUUAAUAAACUGAAUAUGCUCAGAUCAAA